GAUGAACGCUGGCGGCGUGCUUAACACAUGCAAGUCGAACGGUAAGGCUCCUUCUUGCAGGGGUUCUCGAGUGGCGAACGGGUGAGUAACACGUGGGUUAUCUUCCCUGCACUUCUGGAUAAGCCUGGGUAACUGUGUUUAAUACUGGAUAGGACGAUGGCUUGUAUGCCAUUGUGGAAAGUUUUUCGGUGUGGGAUGAGCUCGCGGCCUAUCAGCUUGUUGGUGGGGUAAUGGCCUACCAAGGCGCCGACGGGUAGCCGGCCUGAGAGGGUGUACGGCCACAUUGGGACUGAGAUACGGCCCAGACUCCUACGGGAGGCAGCAGUGGGGAAUAUUGCACAAUGGGCGCAAGCCUGAUGCAGCGACGCCGCGUGGGGGAUGACGGCCUUCGGGUUGUAAACCCCUUUCGGCAGGGAAGAAGCGAAAGUGACGGUACCUGGAGAAGAAGCACCGGCUAACUACGUG
This 465-nucleotide ribosomal RNA is filed under the name uncultured bacterium. RNAcentral's name for it is "partial 16S ribosomal RNA". It matches the Rfam family "Bacterial small subunit ribosomal RNA", at positions 28 to 507 of the family's 1533-position model. The record is from RNAcentral.